GUUUGAUAUAGAUUAUAGGGUAUUAUGUAUCAACUCAAAAAUGAUUUGGCCAAAAGCAUGGGAAAAAAGAGAAACUUGGAUAGAUUUGAAGAACUAUUAAUAUUUAGAUUGCAUAGAGCAUGUGAAAUUGAUUAGAACCUUGUGCAUACGCAAAACUAGAGCUUUUAUGUAUGUAGUAAUUUAUCAGUAGCAGCAACAAAUUCUAAUCAUUCAUCU
Molecule: unclassified non-coding RNA, 216 nt
Filed under: Hevea brasiliensis (rubber tree)
Lineage: Eukaryota; Viridiplantae; Streptophyta; Magnoliopsida; Malpighiales; Euphorbiaceae
Source: RNAcentral